RNAcentral lists this microRNA (22 nucleotides) under Bos taurus (domestic cattle). RNAcentral describes it as "bta-miR-2285h". Lineage: Eukaryota; Metazoa; Chordata; Mammalia; Artiodactyla; Bovidae. The record is from miRBase by way of RNAcentral.
GAAAACCGAAACGAACUUUAUG